This 472-nucleotide ribosomal RNA is filed under the name uncultured bacterium. Its description in RNAcentral is "bacterial SSU rRNA". It matches the Rfam family "Bacterial small subunit ribosomal RNA", at positions 335 to 798 of the family's 1533-position model. The record is from RNAcentral.
ACUCCUACGGGAGGCAGCAGUGGGGAAUAUUGCACAAUGGGCGCAAGCCUGAUGCAGCCAUGCCGCGUGUAUGAAGAAGGCCUUCGGGUUGUAAAGUACUUUCAGCAGUGAGGAAGGUGGGUAUGUUAAUAGCAUAUUCAUUUGACGUUAGCUGCAGAAGAAGCACCGGCUAACUCCGUGCCAGCAGCCGCGGUAAUACGGAGGGUGCGAGCGUUAAUCGGAAUUACUGGGCGUAAAGCGCAUGCAGGUGGUUUGUUAAGUCAGAUGUGAAAGCCCGGGGCUCAACCUCGGAAUUGCAUUUGAAACUGGCAAACUAGAGUACUGUAGAGGGGGGUAGAAUUUCAGGUGUAGCGGUGAAAUGCGUAGAGAUCUGAAGGAAUACCGGUGGCGAAGGCGGCCCCCUGGACAGAUACUGACACUCAGAUGCGAAAGCGUGGGGGAGCAAACAGGAUUAGAUACCCUGGUAGGCUCU